UUAUGGCUCAGAUUGAACGCUGGCGGCAGGCCUAACACAUGCAAGUCGAACGGUAACAGGAAGCAGCUUGCUGCUUGCUGACGAGUGGCGGACGGGUGAGUAAUGUCUGGGAAACUGCCCGAUGGAGGGGGAUAACUACUGGAAACGGUAGCUAAUACCGCAUAAUGUCGCAAGACCAAAGAGGGGGACCUUCGGGCCUCUUGCCAUCGGAUGUGCCCAGAUGGGAUUAGCUAGUUGGUGAGGUAACGGCUCACCAAGGCGACGAUCCCUAGCUGGUCUGAGAGGAUGACCAGCCACACUGGAACUGAGACACGGUCCAGACUCCUACGGGAGGCAGCAGUGGGGAAUAUUGCACAAUGGGCGCAAGCCUGAUGCAGCCAAUGCCGCGUGUAUGAAGAAGGCCUUCGGGUUGUAAAGUACUUUCAGCGGGGAGGAAGGGGUUAAGGUUAAUAACCUUAGCCAUUGACGUUACCCGCAGAAGAAGCACCGGCUAACUCCGUGCCAGCCGCGGC
This 512-nucleotide ribosomal RNA is filed under the name uncultured bacterium. RNAcentral's name for it is "bacterial SSU rRNA". It matches the Rfam family "Bacterial small subunit ribosomal RNA", at positions 17 to 518 of the family's 1533-position model. The record is from RNAcentral.